RNAcentral lists this long non-coding RNA (873 nucleotides) under Trifolium pratense (red clover). RNAcentral's name for it is "long non-coding RNA (TPRA_LNC003611)". Lineage: Eukaryota; Viridiplantae; Streptophyta; Magnoliopsida; Fabales; Fabaceae. The record is from RNAcentral.
CUAUCAAUUUUCCUUUCAACAUAAUCUUCAAUUUUGUCACCCAAUUCACUACCUUUAGAAAUUAGAAUCCACAUCAGAACAAUCCGAUUCAAAUCUGGCCAAAUUAUAACUUCUCCUCCUUGGAAAUUAUCACCGCCGCAUGUGGAGUAGGAACAGAUCUAGAAGCAGCGGCAUCAACAAGAGCAACACGUGUUUAGCAUUUGGUGUAACACGACCGAAUAAAGAUGAGAAUGGGCGUGGAGGUUUAUCGGGUUUUAGCCGAGAAAUUGAAACAGGUACAGGUUGAGGGAAACUGAAUGGGUUUAUUGUUGUGAUGCAGAGAAAAAGGAGGAGAAGGUGAUUAUGAAGAUGAGAAAGUAUCGCAGUCGUUGAGAAUUNNNNNNNNNNNNNNNNNNNNNNNNNNNUUGCCGGUUCAGUGAUGAGUGGUGUGGAGAUCGGCGGCUUCGGUGUCGUCGGGAAGGAAUGAGCGAAGGUCGAGCUCCAUGGUAGGCACUUGAAGUGAAUUGGUCAAAUUGAUUUUGAUGAUAGCUUUGUCUUCCAAAAAAAUUUAGAAACCGAUCAACUAAUCAUUAUAGGAGCAAAUGAAAAUUGAUGUUGAAUCUGAUUUUUUGAGAACGACAUCAAACCAUCGCGUUUUCUCUGGUGUGGAACUGCUAAUUGUCUAUAUGCUGUUCCUGAAAAAGCUAAGAAGUUCUUCGUUCAAUUCUUAAUGUUCUGCUCGGUGAAGAUUGAAGAAAUUAUCAAUUGUUCCGAGUUGAAUUUUUGGAAAAUUUAAUAUACCAGAAUAGUUUUUCGGUGUUCUUGUUUUUUGUUAAAAGUUGUUCUUUCAAAUUAUCAAAUGAGAAAAACAAAAUUAGUACCGGAACACAUUGG